Hevea brasiliensis (rubber tree) is the source of this 552-nucleotide long non-coding RNA. RefSeq lists it as uncharacterized. The record is from RefSeq and is a predicted model, not a curated record. The transcript is spliced from 2 exons. NCBI's taxonomy places the organism in Eukaryota, Viridiplantae, Streptophyta, Magnoliopsida, Malpighiales, Euphorbiaceae.
CUCACCCGUAGCUCUCAAAUCCCAUAGCCAAACUUCCAUUGAUUUUCAACCAAAGCUCACUUUCUCUCUUCUUUUCACCAUAAACCCUAAACCCCUUUCAUUAAAAGUUGUCCACUCAUCUUAGGGAAGUGUUUGGCAGCCUAGAAAGUGAAGGAAAGUGAAGUUUUGAGUGGGGAAAAAUCUGCCCUAAUCAAGGUACUGGAGACCCCGAUCGUGAGCCCAGUAGACCACAGACUGGGUGAGGCCAUCCGACAGUUCUGCUCAGUGUCCGUGUCACCUCACUACCUGCAGUGCAUCGGUAGGGCACUAGAUGCCAUUUUGUCAUCUUGUAAUUAACUUUUUAUUUUCUCAUAUGUAUUUAGGAUUUAUGUAAUGUAUUUUGAGGUUCAUGUAAAUAAUAAAGAUUUAUGGUUAUGUAUGGUAUUAAUUUGAGUAUUUAAUGGUUGUUUAUAUAUGAGAACCCUGAGAAAGGGAUGUUUUGAAAACUGAAAAGGUUGUUGAGACCUGAAAUUGACAAAUUACCGAGAUAUUGAUAUUGAGUUUUAUUGAUGA